UAGGGAAUCUUCGGCAAUGGGGGCAACCCUGACCGAGCAACGCCGCGUGAGUGAAGAAGGUUUUCGGAUCGUAAAGCUCUGUUGUAAGAGAAGAACGUGUGUGAGAGUGGAAAGUUCACACAGUGACGGUAACUUACCAGAAAGGGACGGCUAACUACGUGCCAGCAGCCGCGGUAAUACGUAGGUCCCGAGCGUUGUCCGGAUUUAUUGGGCGUAAAGCGAGCGCAGGCGGUUUAAUAAGUCUGAAGUUAAAGGCAGUGGCUUAACCAUUGUUCGCUUUGGAAACUGUUAAACUUGAGUGCAGAAGGGGAGAGUGGAAUUCCAUGUGUAGCGGUGAAAUGCGUAGAUAUAUGGAGGAACACCGGUGGCGAAAGCGGCUCUCUGGUCUGUAACUGACGCUGAGGCUCGAAAGCGUGGGGUGCAAACAGG
RNAcentral lists this ribosomal RNA (429 nucleotides) under bacterium. RNAcentral's name for it is "partial 16S ribosomal RNA". It matches the Rfam family "Bacterial small subunit ribosomal RNA", at positions 355 to 776 of the family's 1533-position model. The record is from RNAcentral.